This is a non-coding RNA of Salmo salar (Atlantic salmon), 806 nucleotides long. The record is from RefSeq and is a predicted model, not a curated record. NCBI's taxonomy places the organism in Eukaryota, Metazoa, Chordata, Actinopteri, Salmoniformes, Salmonidae.
GGAAGUCUCUCGAUGUUGCGCCUCUGGCUUUAGAAACUGUGGCUUUACUGAGACGUUUUAAAUGGGAUUCAUGAAGGGCUUUGCAGUUGGGAUGGCAGCUGGUGUCAUGUUUGGAACAUUUUCCUGUAUAAGGGUUGGCAUGAGAGGCAGAGAGCUGAUGGGAGGAGUUGGGAAGAUGAUGCAGAGCGGAGGCACGUUUGGUACAUUCAUGUCCAUUGGGAUGGACAUCUGCUGCAGAGACCACCUCUACGGCACUUACUUAUAAUUACACAACGGGACUUUUGUAAUAACUUAUUCCCAUGUCACAAUUUCUCCAUAGUUCUUGGACAAAGUAUGUCAAUAACGGCUGUGAUUUCAAUUGCUGGUAGUAGGUCUAAGUCAAAUGUUAGGUGUGGGGAAUAUGAUCAAUGGGAUAAUUACUAACCUUGUGGUGCUGCAACAUCGGUGCCAUCCAAAGGAUUGACGAUACCAGGGUAGUCCCUCCCAAAGGAUAGAUGCUUGAUCAAGUGAGUCAUGUUGAUCUGUAGGACACAAGAAACACAAAUAGCCACUUAAAGGGGUAUAGAUAACGCUGCCUUGGAAAGACACAUUUAUAUAAAAAAAAAACAAAAAAAGUACUUACGUUGUCUAGUCCAAAGCUCUGCAGAUCAUGAACUGAAAUGAAAAUGAGACAAUAUGUCAGUAAUGCUGUGAUGCUCUGAUAGAACAUCAGUUACUGUAUAUGUUAUUGUUGAGCACACAGCCCUCAAAUGCGAUGUGUUCUUGAUUACUGCUUGUACCACCUCAAUUAAAGAUCAAACCAACAA